Molecule: long non-coding RNA, 1166 nt
Organism: Metopolophium dirhodum (rose-grain aphid)
Lineage: Eukaryota; Metazoa; Arthropoda; Insecta; Hemiptera; Aphididae
Exons: 3
Source: RefSeq, a predicted model, not a curated record
GUUUUUGGAAAACUCGCUGUACAGCGGUGCACCGAUUAUUAUAUCGUCGCCACCAUCGCCGUCUACGUCUGAAACGCAAAUCGAAUAACCGAAAUAUGCACCGAGUUGAUCGCCAGUGAUGUUGUACAAAUUUAACAGAUCAAAAACCGUUAUUGAUGUAUACGAAUCUUACUUUUCCGAAAAGUCCUCCACCCCUGGGCAUUCCAACUGCAGCGCCGGAUUCCGAACCAAAUCCAAAAGCACCGACGGCGACCGAAUAACCGAGAUACGAAUCGUCAUCAGCUGGCGGUCCCUCGUUGGUCGAAAAUACAUCCGGUCGACUGUGCAAGUUUUGCGAGUAAAAUUGGCCUAUAAAAUAUAAAUGCGCAUUAUAGUUUUUCGUACUGGAUAUUAUGAUAUUCUGCCUUUCUCCAAGCUUAGAUGUUUCGACUUUCGAGUGUCUAUCGGAUGUUGUCAUCUGCUGCAGUUGCACGUGUUACUCUAAUGAGCAUCUGUCAUCAGCAGUAGGUACACCUGUUUCCAAGACGACUAUAUAGACCAUUUAUAGAACGUUCGCUUAAACUCUUCUCCGGACAUUUAUGUCUUUUUUUUUAUUAUCUUACUUCCAAACACAUUUUUGGAUUCGAAAAAUAAUACUUGUGGGUUCGCAAAUGUUUGAACGGUCUUUUGAAACACCCUGUACCCAUUAAGUGCGUGUUUUUAAGAGUGUCAUUAAGGAUUAUUCGGAUUAAAAUAAUAUUAUUUCAUUUUUAUUCUCUGGAAUAUCAUAAAUGAUUAAACAUUACAAUAAAAACUAAAUAAAAGUAGUAAAGAUUAGUAUAAUGUACACAGGCAAUAAGCAGCAAACGUUAGUAUAGUGACCAAAGCAAAGCGAAACAGGAAAGCGUCAAGAAAUUUCCACAAAAAUGCAAUUCCCGACACAUCCUAAUUAUGCCAAUUAAACCGGGCUUGAAAUUUACAUUACAAUUUAAUGAUCAAUGAUUUUUAUAAAAAAAAAAAAAUAAGAAUUUUAUGAUCCCUUAAUAAUCCCAUUAUACCUUAUAAUUUAACUAUUUAGAUAUUUUGAACAAUGAUACAAUUUUAUGAUUCAGAUCAGAGUAACUAAAUCACCAACUUAAUUAAACAUUUAAAUAUGGCUGGAAUCAACUUAUUACAAAAAAUAUGGC